UGGUUUUUCAAUGAGGAUUACAAAGCUCCCUCUUCUGAAUUAAAAGCUGAGGAAGAUUGCUGGCAGAAUCGAACCAAAUAUUUAUAUCGCCACUACUGAGUUA
Molecule: small nucleolar RNA, 103 nt
Organism: Ziziphus jujuba (common jujube)
Lineage: Eukaryota; Viridiplantae; Streptophyta; Magnoliopsida; Rosales; Rhamnaceae
Product: small nucleolar RNA R30/Z108
Exons: 1
Source: RefSeq, a predicted model, not a curated record